AGUGAACGCUGGCGGUAGGCCUAACACAUGCAAGUCGAACGGCAGCACAGUAAGAGCUUGCUCUUACGGGUGGCGAGUGGCGGACGGGUGAGGAAUACAUCGGAAUCUACUUUUUCGUGGGGGAUAACGUAGGGAAACUUACGCUAAUACCGCAUACGACCUACGGGUGAAAGCAGGGGAUCUUCGGACCUUGCGCGAUUGAAUGAGCCGAUGUCGGAUUAGCUAGUUGGCGGGGUAAAGGCCCACCAAGGCGACGAUCCGUAGCUGGUCUGAGAGGAUGUUCAGCCAAACUGAAACUGAGACACGGUCCAGACCCUUGCGGAGGGCAGCGGUGGGGAAUAUUGGACAAGGGGGGCAAGCCUGAUCCAGCCAUACCGGGGGGGUGAAGAAGGCCUUCGGGUGGUAAAGCCCUUUUGUGGGGAAAAAAAGGCAGCGGGUUAAUACCCGGCUGUUCGGAGGUAACCCAAGAAUAAGCACCGGCUAACUUCGUG
RNAcentral lists this ribosomal RNA (491 nucleotides) under uncultured bacterium. Its description in RNAcentral is "partial 16S ribosomal RNA". It matches the Rfam family "Bacterial small subunit ribosomal RNA", at positions 29 to 507 of the family's 1533-position model. The record is from RNAcentral.